AGUGAACGCUGGCGGCAGGCCUAACACAUGCAAGUCGAACGGCAGCACAAGAGAGCUUGCUCUCUGGGUGGCGAGUGGCGGACGGGUGAGGAAUGCGUCGGAAUCUGCCCAUUUGUGGGGGAUAACCUCGGGAAACCGGGACUAAUACCGCAUACGACCUACGGGUGAAAGCAGGGGAUCUUCGGACCUUGCGCAGAUGGAUGAGCCGAUGCCGGAUUAGCUAGUUGGAGGGGUAAAGGCCCACCAAGGCGACGAUCCGUAGCUGGUCUGAGAGGAUGAUCAGCCACACUGGGACUGAGACACGGCCCAGACUCCUACGGGAGGCAGCAGUGGGGAAUAUUGGACAAUGGGCGCAAGCCUGAUCCAGCCAUGCCGCGUGUGUGAAGAAGGCCUUCGGGUUGUAAAGCACUUUUGUUGGGAAAGAAAAGCAGCCGGUUAAUACCCGGUUGUCAUGACGGUACCCAAAGAAUAAGCACCGGCUAACUUCGUG
This 490-nucleotide ribosomal RNA is filed under the name uncultured bacterium. Its description in RNAcentral is "partial 16S ribosomal RNA". It matches the Rfam family "Bacterial small subunit ribosomal RNA", at positions 29 to 507 of the family's 1533-position model. The record is from RNAcentral.